UUUCCGUAGGUGAACCUGCGGAAGGAUCAUUAAAAAAUAUCACAUUUGUUUGUGAUUUAAUAAUCAUCCUACCCUUUGUGAAUUUGUUUUUGUUUGAAAUUUAUGUUGUCUAUCCCUGGAUUAUGAAAGAAAAGUUGUAAAAGACUUUUUUUUCAUUCUAGGGAAUAGGCUUUCAUAGACAUUUUUUUAAAUUAAACUUUUUGUAUUCAUUUGUCUAAAAUUUAUUUUUAAAUAAUUUAAAAACAACUUUUGACAAUGGAUCUCUUGGUUCUCGCAACGAUGAAGAACGCAGCAAAAUGCGAUAAGUAAUGUGAAUUGCAGAAUACGUGAAUCAUCAAAUUUUCGAACGCAUAUUGCACUUUUUUAGUUUACUAAAAAAGUAUGUCUGUUUGAGUAUCAGUAAAAUAUUCUCAUAAAAACUAUUGUUUUUAUGGUUAUGAGUGUUUUACGACGAUAACAAGUUGUUUCACUUUAAAUUGAUUUUUUUAAUAAGCCAAUUUGGUUUUAUUUUUAAAAUUGGAUAAAAUUUUCCCGUAAAAAGGAAUAAACUUUUCAGUUUUAAAGUUAAAACUUAAAUUGACCUACAAAAAAGGAAAUUUAAUUAUAAAACUAACUUGAUCUCAAAUCAGAUAAGAGUACCCGCUGAACUUAAGCAUAUCAAUAAGCGGAGGAAAAGAAACUAACAAGGAUUCCCUUAGUAACGGCGAGUGAAGCGGGAAGAGCUCAAAUUUGAAAUCUUCAAGGUUCUACCUUGACGAAUUGUAGUUUAAACAAGUGUUUUCUGUUAGUGGAGUGGCAAAAGUUCUUUGGAGUAGGACAUCAUAGAGGGUGAGAAUCCCGUAUUUGGUCAUUCCUUCUAGCUUUGUGAUACACUUUCAAAGAGUCGGAUUGUUUGGGAAUGCAGUCCAAAAUGGGUGGUAAAUUUCAUCUAAAGCUAAAUAUUGGCGAGAGACCGAUAGCGAACAAGUACCGUGAGGGAAAGAUGAAAAGAACUUUGAAAAGAGAGUUAAACAGUACGUGAAAUUGUCAAAAGGGAAGCGUUUGACACCAGUGUUGUUUUUUCCGAAAAUCAAUUAUAAAUGUUUUGUUUCUGAGGAGUGAUGACUUCAUCGGCUUCCUUCUCUCUUCACGAAACUUUUGUAAUGCACUUUUCGGUUAACAAGUCAACAUCAAUUUCUUUUGUUGUAAAAGAGUAUUCGGAAGGUGGCUUUCUUUUCGGAGAAAGUGUUUAUAGCCUUUGAUCUCUGCAAUCGGAGAGAUGAGGUCUGCAGCGUAGAUCCUUCGGGGUAGAUACAUUGUGCUAAGUUAUAACUUUUCAUAGACAACUUGUUGACUAUGUUUAGUCUGUAGCUUACUCGCUUAUGCUAUUU
Molecule: unclassified non-coding RNA, 1370 nt
Filed under: uncultured Neocallimastigales
Lineage: Eukaryota; Fungi; Neocallimastigomycota; Neocallimastigomycetes; Neocallimastigales
Description: partial contains small subunit ribosomal RNA, internal transcribed spacer 1, 5.8S ribosomal RNA, internal transcribed spacer 2, and large subunit ribosomal RNA
Rfam family: Eukaryotic large subunit ribosomal RNA (bases 616-1370)
Source: RNAcentral